AUAUAGAUAAGCUAAUUUAAGCUCUUAGACUCAUAAUCUAAUUAUAGUAAUUUUAAUUUACUUUUAUAUA
RNAcentral lists this transfer RNA (70 nucleotides) under Megalyra sp. MM-2014. Its description in RNAcentral is "tRNA-Met". The record is from RNAcentral. Lineage: Eukaryota; Metazoa; Arthropoda; Insecta; Hymenoptera; Megalyridae.